CUAGCCCUGAAUCAAGGCUGGCAGCUUCCUGACGCUGUUGGUUUCAAGCCUAAAGAGAUGUCUUUCUAUGGUCUGUUGGCUACUUCAGAACUUGGGCAGUGAAAUGGUCAAUUCAUUAGAAAGAAACAGCU
Small nucleolar RNA from Cavia porcellus (domestic guinea pig), 131 nucleotides. The record is from Ensembl. NCBI's taxonomy places the organism in Eukaryota, Metazoa, Chordata, Mammalia, Rodentia, Caviidae.